GAGUUUGAUCCUGGCUCAGAAUCAACGCUGGCGGCGUGCCUAACACAGCAAGUCGAGCGAGAAAGGGGGCCUCGGCCCCCGAGUACAGCGGCGGACGGGUGAGUAACACGUGGGUAAUCUGCCCCCGGGUGGGGAAUAACACAGGGAAACCUGUGCUAAUUCCGCAUAACAUCUUCGUUCCACAAGGUUUGAAGAUCAAAGCUGGGGACCCCUUCGGGGGCCUGGCGCCUGAGGAGGAGCCCGCGGCCAAUUAGCUUGUUGGUGGGGUAAUGGCCUACCAAGGCAACGAUUGGUAGCCGGCCUGAGAGGGCGGACGGCCACACUGGGACUGAGACACGGCCCAGACUCCUACGGGAGGCAGCAGUGGGGAAUUUUUGUCAAUGGGGGAAACCCUGAACAAGCAACGCCGCGUGAAGGACGAAGACCUUCGGGUUGUAAACUUCUGUCGGAGGGGACGAAAGCGAUCGGUGCGAAUACCACCGGUCGUUGACGGUACCCUACGAGGAAGCCCCGGCUAACUCCGUGCCAGCAGCCGCGGUAAUAC
Molecule: ribosomal RNA, 544 nt
Filed under: uncultured bacterium
Lineage: Bacteria
Description: bacterial SSU rRNA
Rfam family: Bacterial small subunit ribosomal RNA
Source: RNAcentral